This 317-nucleotide long non-coding RNA is filed under the name Olea europaea (common olive). RNAcentral describes it as "long non-coding RNA (OEUR_LNC003791)". Lineage: Eukaryota; Viridiplantae; Streptophyta; Magnoliopsida; Lamiales; Oleaceae. The record is from RNAcentral.
AAGAAAUAAAAAUUAUGGUGUGAAUAUAAUUACCCUUAUAAUAAAUAUACUUGGCUAAACAAAUUUUCAAAUAUGCCAUCUUAAAUAAUUAGAAAAAAAAAUACAAUUUCUUUUUGUUUUCUCUUACAAUCUUUAGGAUCUUCUAUCAAGGAAUUUUGAAAUUAGGGAUAGAAAGCUCAUUGAUUUACUUCUUGAUCUAUAAAAAGAAGUCACUUCUAUUUCUAUCUAAUGCGGAUAAUAUGUGGCUUUCUAUAACAACUAAUCUACAAAUUUCUCGAUUUUCUAAACAAAUAAUAAUAUAUUUUUUAAAACUUUCU